UUAUAUUUUGCAAAUAUUUGGGGAGACACUGACUUUUCUCCCCGUGCUCUCCCAUUCCUCUCUGCGGAGUGCGCUGCGCCACCCAGCCCUGUCGCUUCCCAGGAGGUGAUCACUUGCCUCCUGCCUGCCCGCCAGCCUGACCUGUGCCCGGCUCGCGGGCCGCAGCCUCGGCUCCGGCGCACCCCCGGCAGCUCUCAGCGCGAUG
This 205-nucleotide non-coding RNA is filed under the name Echinops telfairi (small Madagascar hedgehog). Its description in RNAcentral is "Mnt IRES". It matches the Rfam family "Mnt IRES". Rfam says of the family: This family represents the Mnt internal ribosome entry site (IRES). Mnt is a transcriptional repressor related to the Myc/Mad family of transcription factors. It is thought that this family allows efficient Mnt synthesis when cap-dependent translation initiation is reduced. The record is from Rfam by way of RNAcentral. Lineage: Eukaryota; Metazoa; Chordata; Mammalia; Afrosoricida; Tenrecidae.